Molecule: ribosomal RNA, 225 nt
Filed under: Triticum aestivum (bread wheat)
Lineage: Eukaryota; Viridiplantae; Streptophyta; Magnoliopsida; Poales; Poaceae
Description: partial small subunit ribosomal RNA
Source: RNAcentral
AUGAAUUUAAACCCAUCGGUGACGUGCUGGAACGUUCGAGGUUUGAACAACCCAGCGAAGAGACAAGCGGUCAAAGACUUCCUAGUGUCCGUGCGGCCUAAUCUAGUGUGUUUACAAGAAACUAAGCUCGAUGUAGUUGACAACUUUCUCUUAAUGCAAUGCUGUGGACCGUCCUUAGACGGCUUUGCUUAUCUACCGGCGAUUGAUACGAGAGGUGGGAUUAUU